UUGACCCACAAACGAGAAUGAUUAUUAUUGCACCAUCUGGUCGCGAGAUCAGUCGAUGGAUCAAGGGACCUCAGGUCGGACUUUUGGUCUAUCUCCUCAUCAGGCUAAUCACGGUUUUUGACCCGGCUUAUUGCCGGGUCUUUUUUUG
Molecule: small RNA, 148 nt
Filed under: Pseudomonas mohnii
Lineage: Bacteria; Pseudomonadati; Pseudomonadota; Gammaproteobacteria; Pseudomonadales; Pseudomonadaceae
Description: PrrF RNA
Rfam family: PrrF RNA
About the family: PrrF RNA is a small RNA involved in iron homeostasis and is found exclusively in Pseudomonas species.
Source: RNAcentral